This 253-nucleotide ribosomal RNA is filed under the name uncultured bacterium. RNAcentral describes it as "partial 16S ribosomal RNA". It matches the Rfam family "Bacterial small subunit ribosomal RNA", at positions 524 to 776 of the family's 1533-position model. The record is from RNAcentral.
UACAGAGGUCCCGAGCGUUGUUCGGAUUCAUUGGGCGUAAAGGGUGCGUAGGUGGCGCCGUAAGUGGGGUGUGAAAUCCCGGGGCUUAACCCCGGGACUGCAUUCCAUACUGCGGUGCUUGAGGACUGGAGAGGAGACUGGAAUUUACGGUGUAGCGGUGAAAUGCGUAGAUAUCGUAAGGAAGACCAGUGGCGAAGGCGGGUCUCUGGGCCGAUACUGACGCUGAGGAGCGAAAGCGUGGGGAGCGAACAGG